RNAcentral lists this ribosomal RNA (1438 nucleotides) under uncultured bacterium. RNAcentral describes it as "16S ribosomal RNA". It matches the Rfam family "Bacterial small subunit ribosomal RNA". The record is from RNAcentral.
AGGGUUUGAUCAUGGCUCAGAACGUACGCUGGCGGCACGCCUAACACAUGCAAGUCGAACGCAGUAGCAAUACUGAGUGGCAAACGGGUGAGUAUAAUGUGGGAAUCUGCCUUUUGGUUUGGAAUAACACGGGGAAACUUGUGCUAAUACCGAAUAAGCCCUUACGGGGAAAGUUUUAAUGCCGAAAGAUGAGCCCGCACUUGAUUAGCUAGUUGGUAAGGUAAAAGCUUACCAAGGCAACGAUCAAUAGCUGUUCUUAGAGGAAGACCAGCCACAUUGGGACUGAGACACGGCCCAGACUCCUACGGGAGGCAGCAGUGGGGAAUCUUGCACAAUGGGGGAAACCCUGAUGCAGCGAUGCCGCGUGAGUGAAGAAGGCCUUUGGGUUGUAAAACUCUUUCGUCGGGGAAGAAAAUGACUGUACCCGAAUAAGAAGGUCCGGCUAACUUCGUGCCAGCAGCCGCGGUAAUACGAAGGGACCUAGCGUAGUUCGGAAUUACUGGGCUUAAAGAGUUCGUAGGUGGUUGAAAAAGUUAGUGGUGAAAUCCCAGAGCUUAACUCUGGAACUGCCAUUAAAACUUUUCAGCUAGAGUAUGAUAGAGGAAAGCAGAAUUUCUAGUGUAGAGGUGAAAUUCGUAGAUAUUAGAAAGAAUACCAAUUGCGAAGGCAGCUUUCUGGAUCAUUACUGACACUGAGGAACGAAAGCAUGGGUAGCGAAGAGGAUUAGAUACCCUCGUAGUCCAUGCCGUAAACGAUGUGUGUUAGACGUUGGAAAUUUAUUUUCAGUGUCGCAGGGAAACCGAUAAACACACCGCCUGGGGAGUACGACCGCAAGGUUAAAACUCAAAUGAAUUGACGGGGACCCGCACAAGUAGUGGAGCAUGUGGUUUAAUUCGAAGAUACGCGCAGAACCUUACCAACACUUGACAUGUUCGUCGCGACUCUAAGAGAUUAGAGUUUUCGGUUCGGCCGGACGAAACACAGGUGCUGCAUGGCUGUCGUCAGCUCGUGUCGUGAGAUGUUGGGUUAAGUCCCGCAACGAGCGCAACCCUCACUUUUAGUUGCCAUCAUUAAGUUGGGCACUCUGAAAGAACUGCCAGUGAUAAGCUGGAGGAAGGUGGGGAUGACGUCAAGUCCUCAUGGCCCUUACGUGUUGGGCUACACACGUGCUACAAUGGUAUCUACAACAGGAAGCAAGACUGCGAAGUUAAGCAAAUCCCUAAAAGAUACCUCAGUUCGGAUUGCACUCUGCAACUCGAGUGCAUGAAGCUGGAAUUACUAGUAAUCGUGGAUCAGCGUGCCACGGUGAAUGCGUUCCCGGGUCUUGUACACACCGCCCGUCACACCAUGGGAGUUGGUUCUACCUUAAGGCAAGGUUUCAAACCCUUGACCACGGUAUAGUCAGCGACUGGGGUGAAGUCAUAACAAGGUAACCGUA